This 445-nucleotide ribosomal RNA is filed under the name uncultured organism. Its description in RNAcentral is "partial 16S ribosomal RNA". It matches the Rfam family "Bacterial small subunit ribosomal RNA", at positions 335 to 797 of the family's 1533-position model. The record is from RNAcentral.
ACUCCUACGGGAGGCAGCAGUGGGGAAUAUUGGACAAUGGGCGCAAGCCUGAUCCAGCCAUGCCGCGUGAGUGAUGAAGGCCCUAGGGUUGUAAAGCUCUUUCACCGGUGAAGAUAAUGACGGUAACCGGAGAAGAAGCCCCGGCUAACUUCGUGCCAGCAGCCGCGGUAAUACGAAGGGGGCUAGCGUUGUUCGGAUUUACUGGGCGUAAAGCGCACGUAGGCGGACUAUUAAGUCAGGGGUGAAAUCCCGGGGCUCAACCCCGGAACUGCCUUUGAUACUGGUAGUCGUGAGUUCGAGAGAGGUGAGUGGAAUUCCGAGUGUAGAGGUGAAAUUCGUAGAUAUUCGGAGGAACACCAGUGGCGAAGGCGGCUCACUGGCUCGAUACUGACGCUGAGGUGCGAAAGCGUGGGGAGCAAACAGGAUUAGAAACCCGUGUAGUCCC